Molecule: long non-coding RNA, 236 nt
Organism: Centruroides sculpturatus (bark scorpion)
Lineage: Eukaryota; Metazoa; Arthropoda; Arachnida; Scorpiones; Buthidae
Exons: 2
Source: RefSeq, a predicted model, not a curated record
AAUCUGGCAACGCUACGAGUUAUUUGCGUGUCGUUUACGCGGUCAUCGUGUGGUAAGCGCGGCAUCUUCAAAUUUUAACAAAUGGGAACUAUGCUGCUACUGCUACAUGUAAAAUAUAAACUUCAAAGUGCUUUCUGCAUUUAGAGAAUUCUGCAGAUAUUUGAUCAUUUUUAUCAGUUAUUUAAAAUUUAUUGUAAAUAAAUGUGUUGAAUAAAAUAUUUUGAAAGAUCAGUUAA